Molecule: ribosomal RNA, 607 nt
Filed under: Carex baldensis
Lineage: Eukaryota; Viridiplantae; Streptophyta; Magnoliopsida; Poales; Cyperaceae
Description: eukaryotic LSU rRNA
Rfam family: 5.8S ribosomal RNA (bases 225-379)
Source: RNAcentral
UCGUUGCCUUUCGGAAAACACGACCGUUGCACAUGUGACAGAAUGCUGCCGGGGAGGUGCCUGCUGCCUCCUCGGCCCCACCGGCCUCUUCCCUCUCGCCCUUCGGGCGCGUUGGUCGCCGGCCGGAAUACGGCGCGGGAUGACGCCAAGGAACACGAGAAAGCUGAGGCGCCGGCGAGCUGCUCAAUGGUUGCGCCGGUUGCCAAGGCCAACGAAAAAAGUACGACUCUCGGCAACGGAUAUCUCGGCUCUCGCAUCGAUGAAGAACGUAGCGAAAUGCGAUACGUGGUGUGAAUUGCAGAAUCCCGCGAACCAUCGAGUCUUUGAACGCAAGUUGCGCCCGAGGGACCCUCCCGAGGGCACGCCUGCCUCAUGGGCGUUAGAAGCCCAUCCACGCUCGGUUGCCCCUUGGCAAAGAUGCGUAAAUUGGCCCUCCGAACCGCGAGGUGCGGUGGGCCCAAGUGUGCGGUCGUCGUAUGUGGCCGGGAGCGGCGAGUGGUGGGCUACUGCGCACGUCGCCCCGAGCUCCGUACCGGCACAGGGCCUUGUUUGACCCCCUAACGAGGAGCAUGCCGCCGCGGCCUGUGCUGCGCGGCACCUUCGGACC